Molecule: ribosomal RNA, 497 nt
Filed under: uncultured bacterium
Lineage: Bacteria
Description: partial 16S ribosomal RNA
Rfam family: Bacterial small subunit ribosomal RNA
Source: RNAcentral
GAUGAACGCUGGCGGCGUGCCUAAUACAUGCAAGUCGAGCGAACAGACGAGGAGCUUGCUCCUCUGACGUUAGCGGCGGACGGGUGAGUAACACGUGGAUAACCUACCUAUAAGACUGGGAUAACUUCGGGAAACCGGAGCUAAUACCGGAUAAUAUAUUGAACCGCAUGGUUCAAUAGUGAAAGACGGUUUUGCUGUCACUUAUAGAUGGAUCCGCGCCGCAUUAGCUAGUUGGUAAGGUAACGGCUUACCAAGGCAACGAUGCGUAGCCGACCUGAGAGGGUGAUCGGCCACACUAGAACUGAGACACGGUCCAGACUCCUACGGGAGGCAGCAGUAGGGAAUCUUCCGCAAUGGGCGAAAGCCUGACGGAGCAACGCCGCGUGAGUGAUGAAGGUCUUCGGAUCGUAAAACUCUGUUAUUAGGGAAGAACAAAUGUGUAAGUAACUAUGCACGUCUUGACGGUACCUAAUCAGAAAGUCACGGCUAACUACGUG